RNAcentral lists this ribosomal RNA (900 nucleotides) under uncultured bacterium. RNAcentral's name for it is "bacterial SSU rRNA". It matches the Rfam family "Bacterial small subunit ribosomal RNA", at positions 102 to 1012 of the family's 1533-position model. The record is from RNAcentral.
ACGGGUGAGUAACACAUGGGAAACCUCCCUCAGAAUGGGGAACAUCUCCGAGAAAUCGGAGCUAAUACCGCAUAAGACCACAGUUCGGCAUCGAACAGGGGUAAAAGCAGCAAUGCGUUUUGAGAUGGUCCUGUGUCCUAUCAGCUAGUUGGUGGGGUAACGGCCUACCAAGGCUAUGACGGGUAUCCGGCCUGAAAGGGUGAACGGACACACUGGAACUGAGACACGGUCCAGACUCCUACGGGAGGCAGCAGUGGGGAAUUUUGGACAAUGGGCGCAAGCCUGAUCCAGCGACGCCGCGUGGAGGACGAAGGCCUUCGGGUUGUAAACUCCUUUUGGAGGGGAAGAAUAAAUUGACGGUACCCUCAGAAAAAGCCACGGCUAACUACGUGCCAGCAGCCGCGGUAAUACGUAGGUGGCGAGCGUUACUCGGAAUUACUAGGCGUAAAGCGUAUGUAGGUGGUUAGAUAAGUCUAUGGUGAAAUUUCCUGGCUUAACUGGGAAGGGACAUAGAUACUAUCUGGCUUGAGUGUGGGAGGGGGAGACGGAAUUCCUGGUGUAGCGGUGAAAUGCGUAGAUAUCAGGAGGAACACCGAUGGCGAAAGCAGUCUCCUGGCCCAAUACUGACAUUGAGGUACGAAAGCUAGGGUAGCAAACAGGAUUAGAUACCCUGGUAGUCCUAGCUGUAAACGAUGUUCACUAGAUGUGGGAGGUAUCGACCCCUUCCGCGUCGACGCUAACGCAUUAAGUGAACCGCCUGGGGGAGUACGGCCGCAAGGUUGAAACUCAAAGGAAUUGACGGGGGCCCGCACAAGCGGUGGAGUAUGUGGUUUAAUUCGACGCAACGCGAAAAACCUUACCUGGGCUUGAACUGCUAAUGGUAAAAGCUGGAAACAGUGA